GACGAACGCUGGCGGCGUGCUUAACACAUGCCAGUCGAACGGAAAGGCCCUGCUUUUGUGGGGUGCUCGAGUGGCGAACGGGUGAGUAACACGUGAGUAACCUGCCCUUGACUUUGGGAUAACUUCAGGAAACUGGGGCUAAUACCGGAUAGGAGCUCCUGCUGCAUGGUGGGGGUGGGAAAUUUUCGGCGGUUGGGGAUGGACUCGCGGCUUAUCAGCUGGUUGGUGGGGUAGUGGCUUACCAAGGCUUUGACGGGUAGCCGGCCUGAGAGGGUGACCGGCCACAUUGGGACUGAGAUACGGCCCAGACUGCUACGGGAGGCAGCAGUGGGGAAUAGUGCACAAUGGGCGGAAGCCUGAUGCAGCAACGCCGCGUGCGGGAUGACGGCCUUCGGGUUGUAAACCGCUUUCGCCUGUGACGAAGCGUGAGUGACGGUAAUGGGUAAAGAAGCACCGGCUAACUACGUG
RNAcentral lists this ribosomal RNA (468 nucleotides) under uncultured bacterium. RNAcentral describes it as "partial 16S ribosomal RNA". It matches the Rfam family "Bacterial small subunit ribosomal RNA", at positions 28 to 507 of the family's 1533-position model. The record is from RNAcentral.